AUAAACUCGAGAGGAUGCUCUCCCUUCCCUCCGUGUCCCGUUGCUCAGCUCCCUCCUCCUUCCUCUCUCAAAAGCCAAGAGCUUUAAGAUUCCUCACUGUUCAACCUUGUUCCAAAAGAUACUCUUGUUCGAACCAGAAUCAACGACUUCUGUGUAAGGCUCGAGGAGACAGUAGAUUCCAAGUCAGGAAAGUUAAGACUUGAUUCUUGUUUCUUGUCGCAUUUCUGGCAUCAGUAGAGCUCGCGUUCAGUCUAUUAUUAAAUCAGGAAUUGUCUCUGUCAAUGGAAAGAUUACCUAUAAGGUUGUUCAUCCUGCGCCUGGUAAUGCUACCGGCACGCUGGUGAAUGGGAUACUACACCAACAGUUUCAAACCAGGAAGUUUUGUCGGAUGCAGAGGAUAUUUCUGACGACGGUGAUGGUGUAGGGUUAUGUUCUGGCUCAUACGUAGCAUCUGUUCGACCAGGGAUAGUGCAUUGGUUGGAUAAAGGCACCAGUGGAUUGCUUGUUGUUGCUAAGUGCAGUAUAUAUUGAUGGUGGGAUGAACAUUCGCAUGCUCAUUUAUCUGAGCAAUUCAAGAGUACAAUGAAAGUCCUCUAUUAAGUGACGAGGUUUAUGGAGGGACUUGAAACAUGGCCUUGUCACUGCUUCGAUCCAGAACCGACCCUAGCUGUCAUAUCCAACUUUCUUUAUCACUUUCAGGACUAUAGAGGCCAUUCCUCCAUGGUUUGGCUCUCGGGUGGGGCAUUUAGAAGAUAAAGCUUUGUCCAUUUGCUUCACUGUUUUCCAUUGACACAACUGGAUAAUAUGGAAGUUUGCUUCUUUCCAUUGUUUUGUAGAUUCACACAUCUGUGCACGGGGAAAGAAAUACAUUUUUCAUGCCCGCCUCCUCCAGAUUUUACAGAUAUCUUGAACCACCUUUGUGAAAUGGGAACAGAGAAGGUAUUCUCUCUAAAGGGCAAUUCUGUGUUUUGGGGCAUCACUUUAUUACUGUUUGUGUUUCUUCGAAAGUUUGCAAGUUGAAUGUAAAACCUAAACUUUUGGAAGAUCAUCUAAUCUUGUCUGCUAUAUGAUCAACAAAAGAAAACAUAACAUAGGGUUGCUCAAGUAACACUCGGUCCCGGCACAUCAUGAAUUUUGCUUAAUCUGGCACGUGUCUUGUCAUUCUGUUAAAUUGUGGUAUAAAAUGGUGUUUUACAUUCUUUUCAUCUUGCUUCUUUAAUCUGAAGGGGUCACUUGAACAAAAUGAUCCAUCAUUUGAUCAUAACCUAGAUUUUCUGUGGCUUUAUUGUACAAGACUGAAGUUUCUGAUUGAUGUUGUUCAUGGUGUGAGCAAAUAAUUUUAGGAACUUGUCUGCUGAUUUUUAACCGUUUGAUGAGCAACCUUCAUUUAAGGAAUGACAGAAUUUCUCGAGCAGCAAUAAGAAAAGAUUGUUCUGCGAGCAAAGACGACAGUGUCAAAACAUGCGGAAGGGUGCAACACCAAAUGGACAAAUUCAUGGUGAGGGCAAGAUUCGGGCAUGUUAAUGAAGGUGCUGGCAAAAAGAUUCUACACGGUACAUUUAGGAUUCUGAGGUAGUUCCUCACCACAAGAGAUGGCACUGCCUCGUUCAGUUGAUAGUUCUCAGAAUAGUCUACGACCAUGGUAACUUGGAACGCCAUCCACGAACAGUUGAGAAUGAGAGAGAGAUUAAAUCGCUAGGAGAAUUUUUGCUUAAUCCCCUGUAUGUUUUGUUGUGAGAAUAUUAGAGGUGACGAAUUAGUUGAUUAAUUUAUGUAAAUAAAUAAAUAAAUAAAUGUAUGUUAGCCUCAGUUGGCAUAA
Long non-coding RNA from Populus trichocarpa (black cottonwood), 1819 nucleotides. RefSeq lists it as uncharacterized. The transcript has 3 exons. The record is from RefSeq and is a predicted model, not a curated record. NCBI's taxonomy places the organism in Eukaryota, Viridiplantae, Streptophyta, Magnoliopsida, Malpighiales, Salicaceae.